Molecule: ribosomal RNA, 700 nt
Filed under: uncultured bacterium
Lineage: Bacteria
Description: bacterial SSU rRNA
Rfam family: Bacterial small subunit ribosomal RNA
Source: RNAcentral
UCAGGCCUAACACAUGCAAGUCGAACGGUAACUUUUGGUGCUUGCACCGAAAGACGAGUGGCGAACGGGUGCGUAACGCGUAUGCAAUCUACCUUUUACUAGGGUAUAGCCCAGAGAAAUUUGGAUUAAUCCCCUAUAAUAUCAUUUAAUCGCGUGAUUUUAUGAUUAAAGCUUCGGCGGUGAAAGAUGAGCAUGCGUCCUAUUAGUUAGUAGGUGAGGUAACGGCUCACCUAGGCUUCGAUAGGUAGGGGUCCUGAGAGGGAGAUCCCCCACACUGGUACUGAGACACGGACCAGACUCCUACGGGAGGCAGCAGUGAGGAAUAUUGGACAAUGGACGAAAGUCUGAUCCAGCUAUGCCGCGUGCAGGAUGACGGCCCUAUGGGUUGUAAACUGCUUUUAUACAGGAAGAAAAACUCCGACGUGUCGGAACUUGACGGUACUGUAAGAAUAAGGAUCGGCUAACUCCGUGCCAGCAGCCGCGGUAAUACGGAGGAUCCAAGCGUUAUCCGGAAUCAUUGGGUUUAAAGGGUCCGUAGGCGGUUUUUUAAGUCAGAGGUGAAAUCCUGCAGCUCAACCGUAGAAUUGCCUUUGAUACUGAAAGACUUGAGUUAUUGUGAAGUGGUUAGAAUGUGUGGUGUAGCGGUGAAAUGCAUAGAUAUCACACAGAAUACCAAUUGCGAAGGCAGAUCACUAACAAU